Oryza brachyantha (malo sina) is the source of this 128-nucleotide non-coding RNA. Lineage: Eukaryota; Viridiplantae; Streptophyta; Magnoliopsida; Poales; Poaceae. The record is from Rfam.
AAAAAAGCAGGAUGCUGAUCUCUGUAUAAGCAGUGUCCUCGUAAACUUUAGGAAUAACAUAGUCAUUGUUCUUGGGUGAAUCAGUGGACCACUUGAUGUUUAUUGAUUCAGUAAAUGAUGACACAUUU